Molecule: long non-coding RNA, 1009 nt
Organism: Rhinolophus ferrumequinum (greater horseshoe bat)
Lineage: Eukaryota; Metazoa; Chordata; Mammalia; Chiroptera; Rhinolophidae
Exons: 3
Source: RefSeq, a predicted model, not a curated record
CAAACCUCUGACAGCUUCAGGACGGACCCUGGCUCUGCCGCCAGUUAGCUGCACAGUUUCGGAGCCUUGGUUUCCUCGUGGGAGAAAUGAGGAUCGUUAACCCUCCUUGAGGGUUGUGAGAGAGACAGUCGAUGCAUUUAUGAGCCAAAUGUCAGAACUUACUCAAGCCCUGUUUUCCCAUCCUCGGAAAGACAAGGACAGUGAACCCCAGGACUACAAGUUAUCAGAUAAAGAAGCAGAGGCCCAGAUCAGUGGCACAGCCAGGGAUGAGCAGAAGGAGGACAAAAGCUGGACCAUGGGACCCAAUGCCUUUAGCACUCAAUUUCUGCCUCUAAAGAGCCCAAGACGGAGUAUAGGUGUUUUGAGUGAGCAAAAGCCCCACCUGGCGUAAGUCAGAAGCCCCUUCCUCAUUCCCACUCCUGGUGCUGGAGACAGCCGCAGGAGAGGGGUCCCAGGACCAGGGCUUCUGGGAACAACAGCAGGAGAGCCCAUCUCACUGGCCAUCUAGACUCCAGCACCUGAAAGCAGGCCGGCCAGUCCCCUGUAAACAGCCGGUCUCAUGUCACUGUAAACAGCUGGUGUCUAGAGUUGUCACAGUGCCCAAGUCUCAGUGUGAUUGCCCUGUGACUCGAUACCCUGCCACUGGCCCCUGUCACUCGAUACUUGGUAAACAGCAUUCGGAGAAUGGGUACCAGCACCCUGUCGGGUCUGUGCUGUGCAGGGCCAGCAGCCGGGUCUAACUUCAAUCCAGGUCCUGACCCCCAACAGCAAUCAGCACUUGUUUUGUUCUGAUACUUUGUAAACAUCAAGUCCAGAUACCUGUUACUUGUCAGUGGUCCCUGUUAGUCACCAACUUGCCCUAAUAUUUCUCAGCGGGCAACCUGGAAGGUAUUUAAACAGCCUUCCAAUUCUUUGUAACAAUGAAUCCUGAUACUUUGUUACCUCACCCAGGGGCUGGCCAACUACACCUCUGCUCACCACCUAGUCAUGGCUUUUACACUUUUAAAUG